UACUCCUACGGGAGGCAGCAGUGGGGAAUAUUGGACAAUGGGCGCAAGCCUGAUCCAGCCAUGCCGCGUGAGUGAUGAAGGCCUUAGGGUUGUAAAGCUUCUUUCACCCACGACGAUGAUGACGGUAGUGGAGAAGAGACGAUCC
This 145-nucleotide ribosomal RNA is filed under the name uncultured bacterium. RNAcentral's name for it is "partial 16S ribosomal RNA". It matches the Rfam family "Bacterial small subunit ribosomal RNA", at positions 334 to 494 of the family's 1533-position model. The record is from RNAcentral.